GAGAAGCCCAGAGAUCCAUUUGUUUUGUAAUGAAUCAGUUUUCAGAACGCCCUUUUUGAAAUUUCUGCUUGACAUGUCUGACCACACCACUUAUGUCCAUUAUUGUUUACUGUUACUUCUCUGACCAGUUGUUUUUUUAAAAGUCACACAAACCAUGUUGAUUUGGUGCUGAAAGAAAAUUAUAUCCCUAGCUUCUGUGACAAACCCGUAGACUGAUAUGUGGCACUCAGGAGCCAAAGAGAAUUCCAGACUACGGGCGCCCAGCUUUACCUCAACCCCUAGUUGUCCUUCUUCCUGGUUGGCAGAAGGUCUUUUCCCAGUCCCAGUGCUCCUGGCCCACAUAGCUAAAGCAUUGUGUAUUUGGGAGGAAAAAGUGGGAAGUUACAUAUUGACUCCAAAUACAAGACUUUGUGUGGCCUUAGGGAGAAAAAGUAUUAGGGGCUUGUGACCAUCUGGCCUCUACUUGGUGAAUUAUGACCACCUGCAAUAGCCAACUCUCAACUCAGAUGUCAGCAUCCCCCUCUCAUCCCAAGGCUGUGGGCAAGAAAAGGAGCAUUUCCAUUCCCUCAGAAUAAUUUAGAGUCACUUCUAAGAAUUGCUACCUCCUGUGUGGCUGAUCCCUUUGGAAGGAACUGAGCCCUGAUUAUGAAUACAGCAUCUGGAUAUUGAUUUAGUCUCUAGAGUCUGGUCACCCCUGAAAUGUCAACUCUGUCAUCAAGGCAGGAAGAGGUGGAGAGUUUGGAGAAGGUAGAAAGUUAAUAGUGACAAAGGCACCUCCUAUUCUGACAUCACACAGUAAUGAUCAUAACCAUGGAGGCAAAUCUCCGUCCAAAGAGGGUUUUUUUGUUUGCUUUGUUUUGUUUUCAGCAUUUUCCUCAUUCUGAUGGAAACAUCCCUGGACCUUCAUGGGUCUGGAUUUGGUCAUAUCAAAAACCAUGGUGCCCAGUGGCUAUUUCAGUUAGUGCCCUGACAUCCCUGUGGCUGCCAUACUUUCAGAACCAAAAAUGAUGACAGAUCGCCUAACAUAGGCUUCUUUCUUAUUUAUGCGUUUUGUUUAGAUGAAAAUUCUUGCAGAGCAUAAAAAAUAAAUGGCAUUUCGUUAUCC
This is a non-coding RNA of Ceratotherium simum simum (southern white rhinoceros), 1105 nucleotides long. NCBI's taxonomy places the organism in Eukaryota, Metazoa, Chordata, Mammalia, Perissodactyla, Rhinocerotidae. The record is from RefSeq and is a predicted model, not a curated record.